RNAcentral lists this ribosomal RNA (468 nucleotides) under uncultured bacterium. Its description in RNAcentral is "partial 16S ribosomal RNA". It matches the Rfam family "Bacterial small subunit ribosomal RNA", at positions 28 to 507 of the family's 1533-position model. The record is from RNAcentral.
GACGAACGCUGGCGGCGUGCUUAACACAUGCAAGUCGAACGGAAAGACCCUGCUUUUGUGGGGUGCUCGAGUGGCGAACGGGUGAGUAACACGUGAGUAACCUGCCCUUGACUUUGGGAUAACUUCAGGAAACUGGGGCUAAUACCGGAUAGGAGCUCCUGCUGCAUGGUGGGGGUUGGAAAGUUUCGGCGGUUGGGGAUGGACUCGCGGCUUAUCAGCUUGUUGGUGGGGUAGUGGCUUACCAAGGCUUUGACGGGUAGCCGGCCUGGGAGGGUGACCGGCCACCUUGGGACUGCGGUACGGCCCAGACUGCUACGGGAGACAGCAGUGGGGAAUAUUGCACAAUGGGCCGAAGCCUGAUGCGGCGACGCCGCGUGCGUGAUGACGGCCUUCGGGUUGUAAACCGCUUUCGCCUGUUACGAAGCGGUAGUGACGGUAAUGGGUAAAGAAGCACCGGCUAACUACGUG